This 76-nucleotide transfer RNA is filed under the name Thermotoga sp. Its description in RNAcentral is "tRNA-Trp". It matches the Rfam family "tRNA". From Rfam's summary of the family: Transfer RNA (tRNA) molecules are approximately 80 nucleotides in length. Their secondary structure includes four short double-helical elements and three loops (D, anti-codon, and T loops). Further hydrogen bonds mediate the characteristic L-shaped molecular structure. tRNAs have two regions of fundamental functional importance: the anti-codon, which is responsible for specific mRNA codon recognition, and the 3' end, to which the tRNAs corresponding amino acid is attached (by aminoacyl-tRNA synthetases). tRNAs cope with the degeneracy of the genetic code in two manners: having more than one tRNA (with a specific anti-codon) for a particular amino acid; and 'wobble' base-pairing, i.e. permitting non-standard base-pairing at the 3rd anti-codon position. Lineage: Bacteria; Thermotogati; Thermotogota; Thermotogae; Thermotogales; Thermotogaceae. The record is from RNAcentral. RNAcentral also lists the same sequence under 2 other names.
AGGCCUGUAGCUCAAUUGGCAGAGCACCGGUCUCCAAAAUCGGGGGUUGCAGGUUCGAGUCCUGCCAGGCCUGCCA